Molecule: long non-coding RNA, 302 nt
Organism: Choloepus didactylus (southern two-toed sloth)
Lineage: Eukaryota; Metazoa; Chordata; Mammalia; Pilosa; Megalonychidae
Exons: 3
Source: RefSeq, a predicted model, not a curated record
UAGAGAAGGGCUUUAUUGAAAAAAGAAAGAAAGAAAGAAAGAAACACCAUCACUCAAAUUACUAUCACUCUGGUCAAGAAUGAUUCUGGAAAGAUCUCAUUCAAGAAAGUAAGAGAGCUAUCAACCCUUCUUAAAGGAAAACCACUAAUGCAGCCCAGAGUUUCUUCACCAGGCCACAUGGAAUGGCUCUGUGUCUGUCUUCUGUAACUACAUCAGUUAAGGUUUUUAUUGAAGUCUUCCUAAGAACACAUCAAUUGGAUGAGAAAGCUCUUUGCAUUCAUUGGACUGAAGAUGAAGAUGAA